CACGAACGCUGGCGGCGUGCUUAACACAUGCAAGUCGAACGGUAAGGCCCUUCGGGGUACACGAGUGGCGAACGGGUGAGUAACACGUGGGUGAUCUGCCCUGCACUUCGGGAUAAGCCUGGGAAACUGGGUCUAAUACCGGAUAGGACCACUGCCUGCAUGGGUGGUGGUGGAAAGCUUUUGCGGUGUGGGAUGGGCCCGCGGCCUGUCAGCUUGUUGGUGGGGUGAUGGCCUACCAAGGCGACGACGGGUAGCCGGCCUGAGAGGGUGACCGGCCACACUGGGACUGAGAUACGGCCCAGACUCCUACGGGGGGCAGCAGUGGGGAAUAUUGCACAAUGGGCGCAAGCCUGAUGCAGCGACACCGCGUGAGGGAUGACGGCCUUCGGGUUGUAAACCUCUUUCAGCACCGACGAAGCGCAAGUGACGGUAGGUGCAGAAGAAGGACCGGCCAACUACGUGCCAGCCGCCGCAGUAA
Molecule: ribosomal RNA, 478 nt
Filed under: uncultured bacterium
Lineage: Bacteria
Description: partial 16S ribosomal RNA
Rfam family: Bacterial small subunit ribosomal RNA
Source: RNAcentral